Molecule: ribosomal RNA, 268 nt
Filed under: uncultured bacterium
Lineage: Bacteria
Description: partial 16S ribosomal RNA
Rfam family: Bacterial small subunit ribosomal RNA
Source: RNAcentral
GCAAGUCGAACGAGAAAUUUCCGCUUCGGCGGAAAGAGUACAGUGGCGCACGGGUGAGUAACGCGUGGGUAACCUGCCUUUGAAUCUAGAAUAACCCCGUGAAAACGGGACUAAUACUAGAUAAUGUCCUUUUGGCUCUGGCCUUAGGGAUGAAAGGUGACCUCUUCAUGAAAGUUGCCGUUCAAAGAGGGGCCCGCGUACCAUUAGCUUGUUGGUGGGGUAAUGGCCUACCAAGGCUACGAUGGUUAGCUGGUCUGAGAGGAUGAUC